Molecule: non-coding RNA, 102 nt
Filed under: Trichococcus sp.
Lineage: Bacteria; Bacillati; Bacillota; Bacilli; Lactobacillales; Carnobacteriaceae
Description: TPP sequence
Rfam family: TPP riboswitch aptamer (THI element)
About the family: Vitamin B(1) in its active form thiamin pyrophosphate (TPP) is an essential coenzyme that is synthesised by coupling of pyrimidine and thiazole moieties in bacteria. The previously detected thiamin-regulatory element, thi box was extended, resulting in a new, highly conserved RNA secondary structure, the THI element, which is widely distributed in eubacteria and also occurs in some archaea. Analysis of operon structures identified a large number of new candidate thiamin-regulated genes, mostly transporters, in various prokaryotic organisms.
Source: RNAcentral
UACUUUCAGUAGGGGUGCGCGCGAGCGCUGAGACCGGCAUUGCCGGAACCCUUCAAACCUGAUCCAGUUCGUACUGGCGGAGGGAACUGAGCUCGGUCUGGA